RNAcentral lists this ribosomal RNA (273 nucleotides) under uncultured bacterium. RNAcentral's name for it is "partial 16S ribosomal RNA". It matches the Rfam family "Bacterial small subunit ribosomal RNA", at positions 523 to 796 of the family's 1533-position model. The record is from RNAcentral.
AUACGGAGGGUGCAAGCGUUAUUCGGAAUCACUGGGCGUAAAGGACGCGUAGGCGGGUUGGCAAGUCAGAUGUGAAAUCCUACAGCUUAACUGUAGAACUGCAUUUGAAACUGCUAACCUAGAGUAUGGGAGGGGGAGAUGGAAUUAGUGGUGUAGGGGUAAAAUCCGUAGAUAUCACUAGGAAUACCGAAAGCGAAGGCGAUCUCCUGGAACAUAACUGACGCUAAGGCGUGAAAGCGUGGGGAGCAAACAGGUUAGAAACCCUAGUAGUCC